RNAcentral lists this small RNA (575 nucleotides) under Penicillium polonicum. Its description in RNAcentral is "eukaryotic LSU rRNA". The stretch from base 242 to 394 matches the Rfam family "5.8S ribosomal RNA". The record is from RNAcentral. Lineage: Eukaryota; Fungi; Ascomycota; Eurotiomycetes; Eurotiales; Aspergillaceae.
AGUUUCUUUUGGAAGGUAAAAAGCGUAACAAGGUUUCCGUAGGUGAACCUGCGGAAGGAUCAUUACCGAGUGAGGGCCCUUUGGGUCCAACCUCCCACCCGUGUUUAUUUUACCUUGUUGCUUCGGCGGGCCCGCCUUUACUGGCCGCCGGGGGGCUCACGCCCCCGGGCCCGCGCCCGCCGAAGACACCCCCGAACUCUGUCUGAAGAUUGAAGUCUGAGUGAAAAUAUAAAUUAUUUAAAACUUUCAACAACGGAUCUCUUGGUUCCGGCAUCGAUGAAGAACGCAGCGAAAUGCGAUACGUAAUGUGAAUUGCAAAUUCAGUGAAUCAUCGAGUCUUUGAACGCACAUUGCGCCCCCUGGUAUUCCGGGGGGCAUGCCUGUCCGAGCGUCAUUGCUGCCCUCAAGCCCGGCUUGUGUGUUGGGCCCCGUCCUCCGAUUCCGGGGGACGGGCCCGAAAGGCAGCGGCGGCACCGCGUCCGGUCCUCGAGCGUAUGGGGCUUUGUCACCCGCUCUGUAGGCCCGGCCGGCGCUUGCCGAUCAACCCAAAUUUUUAUCCAGGUUGACCUCGGAUC